GAUGAAGAACGCAGCGAAAUGCGAUAAGUAAUGUGAAUUGCAGAAUUCAGUGAAUCAUCGAAUCUUUGAACGCACAUUGCGCCCGUCAGUAUUCUGGCGGGCAUGCCUGUUCGAGCGUCAUUACGCCCCUCGUCCCCUGUGGACUUGGUGUUGGGGAUCGGCGAGGCUGGUUUUCCAGCACAGCCGUCCCUUAAAUUAAUUGGCGGUCUCGCCGUGGCCCUCCUCUGCGCAGUAGUAAAACACUCGCAACAGGAGCCCGGCGCGGUCCACUGCCGUAAAACCCCCCAACUUUUUAUAGUUGACCUCGAAUCAGGUAGGACUACCCGCUGAACUUAAGCAUAUCAAUAAGCGGAGGA
Molecule: unclassified non-coding RNA, 356 nt
Filed under: soil metagenome
Description: partial contains 5.8S ribosomal RNA, internal transcribed spacer 2, and large subunit ribosomal RNA
Rfam family: 5.8S ribosomal RNA (bases 1-120)
Source: RNAcentral